GACGGGACCCGCACAAGCGGUGGAUGAUGUGGUUUAAUUCGAUGCAACGCGAAAACCUUACCCACCUUUGACAUGUACGGAACCCUUAGAGAUAGAGGGGUGCUCGAAAGAGAGCCGUAACACAGGUGCUGCAUGGCUGUCGUCAGCUCGUGUCGUGAGAUGUUGGGUUAAGUCCCGCAACGAGCGCAACCCUUGUCAUUAGUUGCUACAUUCAGUUGGGCACUCUAAUGAGACUGCCGGUGACAAACCGGAGGAAGGUGGGGAUGACGUCAAGUCCUCAUGGCCCUUAUGGGUAGGGCUUCACACGUCAUACAAUGGUCGGUACAGAGGGUUGCCAACCCGCGAGGGGGAGCUAAUCCCACAAAGCCGAUCGUAGUCCGGAUCGCAGUCUGCAACUCGACUGCGUGAAGUCGGAAUCGCUAGUAAUCGUGGAUCAGCAUGUCACGGUGAAUACGUUCCCGGGUCUU
This 467-nucleotide ribosomal RNA is filed under the name uncultured Acidovorax sp. Its description in RNAcentral is "bacterial SSU rRNA". It matches the Rfam family "Bacterial small subunit ribosomal RNA", at positions 916 to 1381 of the family's 1533-position model. Lineage: Bacteria; Pseudomonadati; Pseudomonadota; Betaproteobacteria; Burkholderiales; Comamonadaceae. The record is from RNAcentral.